GCGCCCGUAGCUCAGCUGGAUGGAGUACCGGAUUCCGGUUCCGGGGGCCGCAGGUUCGAAUCCUGCCGGGCGCGCCA
Molecule: transfer RNA, 77 nt
Filed under: Nitrospirota bacterium
Lineage: Bacteria; Pseudomonadati; Nitrospirota
Description: Nitrospirae bacterium (marine sediment metagenome) tRNA-Arg
Rfam family: tRNA
About the family: Transfer RNA (tRNA) molecules are approximately 80 nucleotides in length. Their secondary structure includes four short double-helical elements and three loops (D, anti-codon, and T loops). Further hydrogen bonds mediate the characteristic L-shaped molecular structure. tRNAs have two regions of fundamental functional importance: the anti-codon, which is responsible for specific mRNA codon recognition, and the 3' end, to which the tRNAs corresponding amino acid is attached (by aminoacyl-tRNA synthetases). tRNAs cope with the degeneracy of the genetic code in two manners: having more than one tRNA (with a specific anti-codon) for a particular amino acid; and 'wobble' base-pairing, i.e. permitting non-standard base-pairing at the 3rd anti-codon position.
Source: RNAcentral